Chroicocephalus ridibundus (black-headed gull) is the source of this 975-nucleotide long non-coding RNA. RefSeq lists it as uncharacterized. The transcript is spliced from 3 exons. The record is from RefSeq and is a predicted model, not a curated record. NCBI's taxonomy places the organism in Eukaryota, Metazoa, Chordata, Aves, Charadriiformes, Laridae.
GCCUGGUUUUGGAGCUGAAGUUGUGAUAACCCUGCCCCGCGUAUUAAAUCUGCUCUUUGGGAUUUGUCGGCCCUGGCAGAUGGGGUCAAACGAGACCUGAGGAGUUAGGCUGAAGUCAUACGCGCAGUGAUGGUUUGUCCAAAGCGGAAGGUGGUUAGGUGGGUAAAACCACCAGUCUGCUACCCAAACUGGUCAGGCGGGAAGAUGUCACGUCGUAUCGUGAGCUCUUCGUAGUGUCCUGCUCUUUGAUGAAGCCUCAUCUCACAAAGCAGGACGCCUUUCACAUUUUCAUCGUGGUUGCGUUGCGCUUGAAAUUGUACCGAACAGCUGUUUUCAACGGCGAUGGACAGAAUGAAGAGGUGAUGGGUACACAAACCAGCACAAGCAGCGUGGUAAACCGUCAUUUAAGGGUGAAGGUGUAACGAUGAAGGAUACCCAGGUGUAACGAUGAAGGAUACCCAGGUGUAACGAUGAAGGAUACCCAGGUGUAACGAUGAAGGAUACCCUAGGAAAUACUUCUGAAUACUAUUAGAGGGCACGCGUUGGUGUUCCCAGAGCACAGAACCAGACUGCGGUCCUUAUCUGACAAUGAGAAGAGAUGAAAGGAUUUGAGGAUUUAGCAGAAUAAGAAAUGUACUGACCUAAUCCUCCUGUUUUCUGCUUCUGACAACGACGAGCUUCCAUAUUGCGUCCCGUGGUGCCACAGCUACGCCGUAUAUACCCAUCCUCUAUAAUUUCUGACUUGGAAUUCUCCUUUUCAUACGUUCUGAAAGAAGUAUAUUAUGUAGAAGUACAUACCGGAGUACAUCGAAGCUUGGAGACAAAUAAACUCCACGUUAAGGCUGUCGCUUUGUAGUGCAUGGGUAUUGCGAGGGAUGUAGACCAGUAGCUCAUCCGAUGUGCCAUAUGUGCUGUGUAUCAGCCUGGUUUUUUACAACACAGUGAAUUAAAUACAUUGAAAUUCACACUUCUGUU